This 484-nucleotide ribosomal RNA is filed under the name uncultured bacterium. RNAcentral describes it as "bacterial SSU rRNA". It matches the Rfam family "Bacterial small subunit ribosomal RNA", at positions 32 to 525 of the family's 1533-position model. The record is from RNAcentral.
AAUCAACGCUGGCGGCGUGCCUCAGACAUGCAAGUCGAACGAUUAAAGCUCUCUUCGGAGAGUGUAUAGAGUGGCGCACGGGUGAGUAACACGUAAGUAAUCUACCCUCGAGUGGGGAAUAACAACCGGAAACGGUUGCUAAUACCGCAUAAUGCAGCGGCACCGCAAGGUGACAGUUGUUAAAGAUUUAUCGCUUGAGGAGGAGCUUGCGGCAGAUUAGCUAGUUGGUAGGGUAACGGCUUACCAAGGCUACGAUCUGUAACCGGUCUAAGAGGACGGUCGGUCACACUGACACUGAAUAACGGGUCAGACUCCUACGGGAGGCAGCAGUCGGGAAUUUUGGGCAAUGGGCGAAAGCCUGACCCAGCAACGCCGCGUGAAGGAUGAAGUAUUUCGGUAUGUAAACUUCGAAAGAAUAGGAAGAAUUAAUGACGGUACUAUUUAUAAGGUACCGGCUAACUACGUGCCAGCAGCCGCGGUAAAG